This 497-nucleotide ribosomal RNA is filed under the name uncultured bacterium. RNAcentral describes it as "partial 16S ribosomal RNA". It matches the Rfam family "Bacterial small subunit ribosomal RNA", at positions 28 to 507 of the family's 1533-position model. The record is from RNAcentral.
GAUGAACGCUGGCGGCGUGCCUAAUACAUGCAAGUCGAGCGAACAGACCAGGAGCUUGCUCCUCUGACGUUAGCGGCGGACGGGUGAGUAACACGUGGAUAACCUACCUAUAAGACUGGGAUAACUUCGGGAAACCGGAGCUAAUACCGGAUAAUAUAUUGAACCGCAUGGUUCAAUAGUGAAAGACGGUUUUGCUUUCACUUAAAGAUGGAUCCGCGCCGCAUUAGCUAGUUGGUAAGGUAACGGCUUACCAAGGCAACGAUGCGUAGCCGACCUGAGAGGGUGAUCGGCCACACUGGAACUGAGACACGGUCCAGACUCCUACGGGAGGCAGCAGUAGGGAAUCUUCCGCAAUGGGCGAAAGCCUGACAGAGCAACGCCGCGUGAGUGAUGAAGGUCUUCGGAUCGUAAAACUCUGUUAUUAGGGAAGAACAAAUGUGUAAGUAACUAUGCACGUCUUGACGGUACCUAAUCAGAAAGCCACGGCUAACUACGUG